AUACGUAGGUGGCAAGCGUUGUCCGGAUUUACUGGGUGUAAAGGGCGUGUAGGCGGGAUUACAAGUCAGAUGUGAAAACUAUGGGCUCAACCCAUAGCCUGCAUUUGAAACUGUAGUUCUUGAGUGAUGGAGAGGCAGACGGAAUUCCUCGUGUAGCGGUGAAAUGCGUAGAUAUGAGGAGGAACACCAGUGGCGAAGGCGGUCUGCUGGACAUUAACUGACGCUGAGGCGCGAAAGCGUGGGGAGC
Molecule: ribosomal RNA, 247 nt
Filed under: uncultured bacterium
Lineage: Bacteria
Description: partial 16S ribosomal RNA
Rfam family: Bacterial small subunit ribosomal RNA
Source: RNAcentral